CCACUUUCCAACCCACAGAAGGAAAAAUGACAUUGUGGCUGCAUUUUAUUCUCCUUUUUGGAGUCACUAGAGGUGUGCAAUCAGCAGUCCAGCUGGUGGAAUCUGGAGGGGACCAAAAAAGACCUGGAGAGUCCCUCCGCCUCACCUGUCAGGCCUCCGGGUUCACCUUCAGCAGCUAUGGCAUGAGCUGGGUGCGACAGGCUCCUGGGAAGGGCUUGGAAUGGGUGGCAUAUCACUACCCAAAUGACAUCUACUACUCGGAUGCUGUGAAAGGCCGUUUCACCAUCUCCAGGGAUGAUUCCAGAAGCCAGCUGUACUUGCAAAUGAACAACCUCAAAGCAGAGGACACCGCUAUGUACUACUGUGCAAGAGACACACUGGGGGAGAGUAACUGGCCCCAUCCACCCUUUUGGGGACAGGGAUCC
Molecule: non-coding RNA, 425 nt
Organism: Hemicordylus capensis (graceful crag lizard)
Lineage: Eukaryota; Metazoa; Chordata; Lepidosauria; Squamata; Cordylidae
Source: the annotation of a RefSeq genome assembly